This 353-nucleotide ribosomal RNA is filed under the name uncultured soil bacterium. RNAcentral's name for it is "bacterial SSU rRNA". It matches the Rfam family "Bacterial small subunit ribosomal RNA", at positions 26 to 387 of the family's 1533-position model. The record is from RNAcentral.
AGAUUGAACGCUGGCGGCAUGCCUAACACAUGCAAGUCGAACGGGAGUAGCAAUACUCUAGUGGCGGACGGGUGAGGAAUACGUAGGAAUUUGCCCUUAAGUGGGGGAUAACCCGGGGAAACCCGGAUUAAUACCGCAUGACCUCGAAAGAGCAAAGUGGGGGAUCGCAAGACCUCACGCUUUUGGAGAAGCCUACGUCGGAUUAGCUAGUUGGUGAGGUAAUGGCUCACCAAGGCGACGAUCCGUAACUGGUCUGAGAGGAUGAUCAGUCACACCGGAACUGAGACACGGUCCGGACUCCGUACGGGAGGCAGCAGGUGGGGAAUAGUUGGACAAGUGGGCGCAAGCCUGAU